RNAcentral lists this transfer RNA (105 nucleotides) under Fervidicoccus fontis Kam940. It matches the Rfam family "tRNA". Rfam says of the family: Transfer RNA (tRNA) molecules are approximately 80 nucleotides in length. The record is from Rfam by way of RNAcentral. Lineage: Archaea; Thermoproteati; Thermoproteota; Thermoprotei; Fervidicoccales; Fervidicoccaceae.
GCCGCGGUAGCUCAGCCCUGGUGGAGCGCCGGACUCAUACGGUUAAAAAAGAAAGGUCGUUCCUGAGAGAUCCGGAGGUCCGGGGUUCGAAUCCCCGCCGCGGCA